AGCUUUGCACAGUGGCAGUACCGUAGCCAAUGAGGUUUAUCCGGGGCGCGAUUAUUGCUAAUUGAAAACUUUUCCCAGUUUUGGGUCUUUGUGGGUCUCCUAAUUUUAAGCACAGCACAGAGCAAGCACAUGGCUGCU
Molecule: small nuclear RNA, 138 nt
Organism: Apodemus sylvaticus (European woodmouse)
Lineage: Eukaryota; Metazoa; Chordata; Mammalia; Rodentia; Muridae
Product: U4 spliceosomal RNA
Exons: 1
Source: RefSeq, a predicted model, not a curated record